RNAcentral lists this long non-coding RNA (398 nucleotides) under Helianthus annuus (common sunflower). Its description in RNAcentral is "hypothetical non coding rna". Lineage: Eukaryota; Viridiplantae; Streptophyta; Magnoliopsida; Asterales; Asteraceae. The record is from RNAcentral.
UCUUUUCCUCCCUAUUCUCUCUCUGUACCAAUUCAAUCACUUCUUCCACCACCACAACCUUCUUUCACCACCAUAACAACCAAAUCCGGCCAAAAAGAAGCACACACCAUUUCACAGAUAUGAUAACGGUAACGGCCACUUUCAUCAGGUCGGAGAUGUUUAGAAUGACCGGAAAUCACAGAUCUCUCUCUCUCGGAACGACCUAAAAGAACCACUACGGCGGCCGGACUUGAAUCAACCUCCGAUUAUCUUUCUCUCUCUUGGAACGACCAAGAACUGUGACGGCCGGAGACUCGUUGAUAACUCUGUUGAUUUCUAUUAGAUUUAGCCUAAUUCAAUUAUGUGUAUAAGAAGUUCAUUAUUUUGUAAAGUAAUUGAAAUGAUCUUUAUUUUGAGUU